AAUUUAUACACAUUUUUGAUUGUUCUGCUUCACUGAUCUAGGGUUUCAGCAGUAUACUUGAAGCUUGUUUUGACCAUCUGAUUCUCGAUUUUGUGUCGUCCUCUCUUGGCUCACCGAUCAGGAGCCAAGAACAGAGGAAUUGAGAGGUUUUGGUGAAAUGGAGUCAAGUGAGGGAUUUUUGACUGAACAACAGAGGGAGAUGCUGGAUAUAGCACCGGUGAAUGUGGAGGUUUUGUCAUCUUCUCCAAAGUCUCCGACUUUGAAAUCUCCAGGUGCUAAAUCCUCUUCUAUUCUCUUGUCGGAUCUUCAUGUGAAGGCAUCAGGCAGUGGGGCUGGGAUUGCUGUGCGACAUGUACGGCGUACGCACUCAGGGAAACAUAUACGGGUUAAGAAGGAUGGUGCUGGUGGUAAAGGCACUUGGGAAAAAUUGCUUGAUACUGAUGUUGAAUCUCAUCUUGAUAGAAAUGAUCCCAACUAUGAUAGUGGU
RNAcentral lists this unclassified non-coding RNA (487 nucleotides) under Hevea brasiliensis (rubber tree). Lineage: Eukaryota; Viridiplantae; Streptophyta; Magnoliopsida; Malpighiales; Euphorbiaceae. The record is from RNAcentral.